RNAcentral lists this ribosomal RNA (160 nucleotides) under uncultured Rhodanobacter sp. Its description in RNAcentral is "partial 16S ribosomal RNA". Lineage: Bacteria; Pseudomonadati; Pseudomonadota; Gammaproteobacteria; Lysobacterales; Rhodanobacteraceae. The record is from RNAcentral.
ACGGGGGGCCUACGGGAGGCAGCACUGGGGAAUUUCCACAAUGGGCGCAAGCCUGAUCCAGCAAUGCCGCGUAAUGAAGAAGGCCCUCGGGUUGUAAAGCACUUUUAUCGGGAGGGACAAGUCACUGAUUAAUACCCGGUACCAUGACGGACCUGCAGAA